RNAcentral lists this ribosomal RNA (253 nucleotides) under uncultured bacterium. Its description in RNAcentral is "partial 16S ribosomal RNA". It matches the Rfam family "Bacterial small subunit ribosomal RNA", at positions 524 to 776 of the family's 1533-position model. The record is from RNAcentral.
UACGAAGGGGGCUAGCGUUGUUCGGAAUUACUGGGCGUAAAGCGUGCGCAGGCGGCUCAUCAAGUCAGAGGUGAAAGCCCAGGGCUCAACCCUGGAAUUGCCUUUGAAACUGGUGGGCUUGAGUGCGGGAGAGGUGAGUGGAAUUCCCAGUGUAGAGGUGAAAUUCGUAGAUAUUGGGAAGAACACCGGUGGCGAAGGCGGCUCACUGGCCCGUUUCUGACGCUCAUGCACGACAGCGUGGGGAUCAAACAGG